Molecule: long non-coding RNA, 2960 nt
Organism: Perognathus longimembris pacificus (Pacific pocket mouse)
Lineage: Eukaryota; Metazoa; Chordata; Mammalia; Rodentia; Heteromyidae
Exons: 2
Source: RefSeq, a predicted model, not a curated record
AUGUGAUGCUGAGGUAUUGAACCCAGGGCUUCAUGCAUGCUAAGCAAGCACUCUACCACUAAGCCCCAUUCGCAGCCCCAUGCGUAUCUGUCCUUAACACAGUCCUAAUUACAGAGGAGUUAGUGACAUAACAACAUCACACACUUAGCAAGGGAUUCCCAUGUAGCUAGUUCAGCUUGAGAAUUGUUUUCUUUACUAUGCUGUCAUUUGACAACAGCUGUUCUCUGGAAACUUGUAUUUUUAAAUCAACACCUUUUGGUCAUGAAAUCAGUGAAAUGAAAUUACUGAGGUGUUAAAGACAUAUAUCAGCUGAGAAAUGUUUUAGGACUGACUAGAGUCUCCAGUGUACACUGACUGCUUGUAGGCGUCAUUUCCCUUUGGGGUUUGCUUUGUUAAAGUAAGUAUCUCUCCAUAAAUCUCGUGCAGGGUUGUAUCUGAUGCCUCUCUUUGGGGCUCUCAUGCUUCUUGGCUUCUACUCCUGUUGAGUAGGCAGACGUAUCUGGAGACAGAUGUAGAGUCAAGGAAAAGAAGAGCUUUAGAGCUUAAAAUUGAUUUAUGUAAAAGCUUUCUCUGCAGUUCAAGCAAGUAAAAGACAAAAGCACACUCUCCUUUCUGUAGUACAAUUCCUUGCAACGGCAGACCAACCCCAUUUUAUUUGGGGUUAGUAUGGGUUAUCUGGAAAGCACCCAGAACCACCCCAAAAUGCGUUGUAUAAGAAGCUCUUAUUCAGAAAGGAAACUCUUAACAUAUGAAGGAACAACCCUGAUGAUGCCAAGCUGACAUGUGUGCCACGGUGCAGUGUUGGCAUGGUGAGAUUUGCAGCUAGUUUGUUUGUUUUGAAACAGAGUCUCACUGCAAUCAGCCUGGCCUGGAAUUGAACUCCUCCUGCUUCAGCCUCCCACAUGCACCACGCCCAGCUUGCAACCAGCUCUUCACCUCUGGGUGUUAGCAGCGAAACAAGCAGUAUGUCUUGCACUGAUUCUGUUUUUCCUUAAAAUUAACUGUGCAUGUGUGUUUGUGCAGAUGCAUGCACACUCAUGAGUGUGCUUGGUGUGCACAGGCACUGGAUUAAAGAACCAGCAGAGCUUUUUCAGGUAGAUUUGUUGCAUUGUGUGGUCAGCCACACUUGCACAAGCAGAUUUUUCUUAGCUUCCCUAUCGUCUACCUGACUAGGUAUGUGACACAUGAAAGGUGUAGUUGAGAAAUGAAUGUAAAGAUAACAGUGCUUCAGCUCUUUAUUAUUAUUAUUAUUAUUAAUUUCUAAGGUAGAAUUUUCUAAACAUUACCUGGAUGUAAGAUUUUUAGGUUGCUAAUCUGUAGUGGCCUCUGUGAAGAGUGAUAAAGAACAAGAUGUAGUUUUUCUUUAUAACAGUGAAGGUUAACAAUCAGAGCUCCUCUAACUCAUUUAAAUCUCAAAGAGCUCUUCUCAAUUGUUGCUGAACAUUCAUAAGCAGGAGUUUGGGGAAUGAACAGCGUGGAUGCUGCUGCCGCCCCUCCCCUCACUGAGGUUUUGUUUCAGUCUGGUAGUGUAGUGGCUCAUGUUUAUAAUCCAGGAGGCUCGGAUUGGAGAUCACCAUUUGAGGCAAGCCAUGGCAAAACAGUUCCCAAGACCCCUCAACCAGUAAAAGCUGUCAUCCCAGCCAUGCAGGAAGUAUAAAUAGGUGAAUCAUUGUCCAGGCAUAAAUGUGAGACUGUUAGAAAAAGAACUUAAGCUAGGACAUAGCUUAAGUGGUAGAGCCUUUUAAAAAGAAAGAUGUUUACAGCUAUUGAUUUCCCCUGAGCACUGUUGUGUGUUCUUUUAUACCUUCAUUUUCAUACCUUUCAUUUAUCUCAGGUUAUUUUCUCUGACUCAUUAGUAAUUUAAAAGUGUGAGUUUUCUUGGCUUGUUUUUUUUCCCCCUUUGCUUUUGAUUUCUAGCUUCAGUGAGGCUUUGUGGUUAGAGAAUAUGCUUUGCAUGAUUUCAGUCUUUUUUUUUUUUUUAUUGAGAGUUGUUCUGUGGACUGAUAAGGACUUCCCUGGAGACUUUCCUGUGUACACUUUUGAGGAAUGUGUGUCUGUGUGUCAGUGUCUGUCUCUCUCUGUGUGUUAGAUCUAGGUGUAUGUGUUGCUCAGAAGCUGGUUUUCCUUAUUUAUCUAUGUCCUAUUAAGCAGUUCUGUCAUUGAAAAGAUGUUAAAGUCUGCUAUUAUGGAAUCUUCUGUGUUUUGUUCAGUUCUGUCAGUGCUUGCCUGUUCUGUUUUGCAGCUGUUUCUGGUGCAUUUUAUCCUUUUGGCGAAUUGAUCCUUUUAUCCAUACGUAACAGUUUUCACGUCCACUCAGUUUUCAUGGCUUGUUGAUACUGAGCAUGCUUAACAAAGUUGUUUUAAAGUCUUUGUAUUCUAAGUACAGUGCUUUCUCAGGAAUGCUUUCUGUUACUUAAUUUUGUGCCUUUGAGUGGAUUCUAUUUUCCUGUUCUUUGUAUGCCCUGUUCUUUACUUAAUUUUUUUUAAAACUUUGAAAACCCGAUGUCUAAAAAUUAGAAUGUUGUGUAUUUGUAGAUAAGUCUAUUCCCAAGUUUUGCUUUUCUGUUUCUGAUCAUUGAUAGUUAUAGUAUUCUUUGUGUGUGUGUGACUUCCAAACAAAUAACACAAACACCUAGUGCUUGCAGAAAGGCCCUUCCUUGGGACCACUUAACAUUCACCUAAGAUGAAGAAGCUUGAGGUUUUCUCAUGUUUCUUCUGAGUGCGUGUCACACUCUGCAAGUACCGUGGGUUUUGAAAUUCUCCCAUGUAUAUGGUGCACUCAUGUUGUUGGUCUAUUUUAUGUCUUAAAUGUGUGGUAUUUUUACCUCAAGUUUCUUUAAACUAUAUUUUAAACAACCAUGCUUUUCUAGCAAGGGCGAAUGUUCAGUUGGGCGAACAGAAUGUGCACCUUGUGUCUAUCCUUCAUGUAUCUCUCACAGAUUGGGAUAGAGUUACCUAGG